Molecule: ribosomal RNA, 832 nt
Filed under: uncultured archaeon
Lineage: Archaea
Description: bacterial SSU rRNA
Rfam family: Archaeal small subunit ribosomal RNA
Source: RNAcentral
ACUGCUCAGUAACACAUGGAUAACCUGCCCUAAGGUGGAGCAUAACCCCGGGAAACUGGGGAUAAUACUCCAUAGGUUAUGGAUGCUGGAAUGCUUCAUAACCCAAAGCUCCGGCGCCUUAGGAUGGAUCUGCGGUCGAUUAGGUUGUUGUUGGGGUAACGGCCCAACAAGCCUGUAAUCGAUACGGGUUGUGGGAGCAAGAGCCCGGAGAUGGAAUCUGAGACACGAUUCCAGGCCCUACGGGGCGCAGCAGGCGCGAAAACUUUACAAUGCGGGAAACUGUGAUAAGGGAACCCCGAGUGCCCGUAUACGCGGGCUGUCCAGGUGUGUAAAAAGCACCUGAAGAAAGGGCCGGGCAAGACCGGUGCCAGCCGCCGCGGUAAUACCGGCGGCUCGAGUGGUGGCCACUUUUAUUGGGCUUAAAGCGUCCGUAGCUGGACCCCUAAGUCCCUUGGGAAAUCUCUUGGCUUAACCAAGAGGCGUCUAAGAGAUACUGGGAGUCUAGGGACCGGGAGAGGUGAGAGGUACUCCGGGGGUAGGAGUGAAAUCCUGUAAUCCCCGGGGGACCACCUGUGGCGAAGGCGUCUCACCAGAACGGCUCCGACAGUGAGGGACGAAAGCUGGGGGAGCGAACCGGAUUAGAUACCCGGGUAGUCCCAGCCGUAAACGAUGCGCGUUAGGUGUACUGGUGACCACGAGUCACCGGGGUGCCGAAGGGAAACCGUGAAACGUGCCGCCUGGGAAGUACGGUCGCAAGGCUGAAACUUAAAGGAAUUGGCGGGGGAGCACCACAACGGGUGGAGCCUGCGGUUUAAUUGGAGUCAACGCCGGA